CCUACGGGAGGCAGCAGUGGGGAAUAUUGCGCAAUGGGCGAAAGCCUGACGCAGCGACGCCGCGUGAGGGAUGAAGGUCUUCGGAUCGUAAACCUCUGUCAGCAGGGAAGAACGGUCACUGUGCUAAUCAGCCGUGAAUUGACGGUACCUGCAAAGGAAGCACCGGCUAACUCCGUGCCAGCAGCCGCGGUAAUACGGAGGGUGCGAGCGUUAAUCGGAAUUACUGGGCGUAAAGCGCUCGUAGGCGGUAUGUCAAGUCAAGGGUGGAAUCCCCGCGCUCAACGUGGGAACUGCCUUUGAAAAUGGGAAGCUGGGGUGUGGGAGGGGGUAGGGGGAAUGCAGGGGGAGGAGGG
This 353-nucleotide ribosomal RNA is filed under the name uncultured bacterium. Its description in RNAcentral is "partial 16S ribosomal RNA". It matches the Rfam family "Bacterial small subunit ribosomal RNA", at positions 338 to 683 of the family's 1533-position model. The record is from RNAcentral.